UCUGUAUUCAUUCCUGAGGUCGAUGACUCUGCAGUUUUCACAUCUAGAGCUCCGACUGGAAGUGGCGGAAACAUAACACCUGGGUAGACAUCCAUCUCCACUCAGUCAGCACCCAAACAUCAUUCAGUUGAAGCUGCAGCCUACAGGGAGAGGAACAAGAAUGGAAGUGGGAAAUAGGCCUUACAGCGGGGUCGGGGGUUUGAAUGGAAAGAACUCGGAGCACCAAACCCCACAGCUGAAAGCGAAAGGUUUACAUUCAGCGCAGUGUGUGGUGCCAUGAACCAGCCACUGCAGGUGUCUGCUGAAUGCACCUACAGGAUGCAUGCAUUCACACCCUUGGAAACAGUGGCCAUACAAGUGCGAG
Acanthopagrus latus (yellowfin seabream) is the source of this 364-nucleotide long non-coding RNA. RefSeq lists it as uncharacterized. The record is from RefSeq and is a predicted model, not a curated record. The transcript has 3 exons. NCBI's taxonomy places the organism in Eukaryota, Metazoa, Chordata, Actinopteri, Spariformes, Sparidae.